AUGAGUGAACCCUCAGAAGAGAGUGAGGAUAUCCAGGAUGAGAUACAAUAUUCUCCACUACAGCAGGCCUCAACUCCAAGUACACUCAGUUCUACUAAGAGGAAAAUCCAACCAAAAGGAGAAAAGGAGGAAGAUACUAUGAGUGAACCCUCAGAGGAAAGUGAGGAUAUCCAGGAUGAGAUACAAUAUUCUCCACUACAGCAGGCCUCAACUCCAAGUACACUCAGUUCUACUAAGAGGAAAAUCCAACCAAAAGGAGAAAAGGAGGAAGAUUCUAUGAGUGAACCCUCAGAGGAAAGUGAGGAUAUCCAGGAUGAGAUACAAUAUUCUCCACUGCAGCAGGCUUCAACUCCAAGUACACUCAGUUCUACUAAGAGGAAAAUCCAACCAAAAGGAGAAAAGGUGAGCAAAGCCAAGAGCAUUGUAAUCCUGUGGAUGGGAAACAGCUCUUGGACAUUCCUUCUGUAA
This 468-nucleotide long non-coding RNA is filed under the name Monodelphis domestica (gray short-tailed opossum). RNAcentral's name for it is "lncRNA (ENSMODG00000045855.1)". Lineage: Eukaryota; Metazoa; Chordata; Mammalia; Didelphimorphia; Didelphidae. The record is from RNAcentral.